CUUACAUCGAGAGACUAAAGAACUUGUUGGACAGCAUGAAAAGUUUUUAUUUCAUGAGCGCUGUUUUCAUCAUGGCAGUGAGCUUAGCAAUACGAGCGGAAGAAGUGAAAUCAAACGCUACAGUUGUGAAGGAUCGGUACAGAGUGACCAACAGCAGCACGAGAGAUUGCCGAGGUCAUGUGUUCUGUGGUGAAUAUGGCAAAGAAGAUUGUAAAAGUGGGUGCCUAUGUUACACAGGCAAUGCAACGGAGCCUUUCGUGUGCAUUUCACCCACGGAAGCAGACUUCUACAAAACGUCAUCAAGAUAUUCCUGACAUCAUAAGAGAGGGCGCGUAAAGUUUGUGCUUUAGCCACGUAGAAAUUAUGUGUCCAUAAUAAACACUUAGUUCAUCUGGCACUUACCCAA
Molecule: long non-coding RNA, 406 nt
Filed under: Rhipicephalus microplus (southern cattle tick)
Lineage: Eukaryota; Metazoa; Arthropoda; Arachnida; Ixodida; Ixodidae
Description: uncharacterized LOC119171694
Source: RNAcentral